This 343-nucleotide unclassified non-coding RNA is filed under the name soil metagenome. Its description in RNAcentral is "partial contains 5.8S ribosomal RNA, internal transcribed spacer 2, and large subunit ribosomal RNA". The stretch from base 1 to 120 matches the Rfam family "5.8S ribosomal RNA", at positions 35 to 154 of the family's 154-position model. The record is from RNAcentral.
GAUGAAGAACGUAGCGAAAUGCGAUAAGUAAUGUGAAUUGCAGAAUCCAGUGAAUCAUCGAAUCUUUGAACGCACAUUGCGCCCGCCAGCAUUCUGGCGGGCAUGCCUGUUCGAGCGUCAUUUCAACCCUCGACCUCCCUUUGGGGAAGUCGGCGUUGGGGACCGGCAGCACACCGCCGGCCCUGAAAUGGAGUGGCGGCCCGUCCGCGGCGACCUCUGCGUAGUAAACCAACUCACACCGGAACCCCGACGUGGCCACGCCGUAAAACACCCAACUUCUGAACGUUGACCUCGAAUCAGGUAGGACUACCCGCUGAACUUAAGCAUAUCAAUAAGCGGAGGA